Catharus ustulatus (Swainson's thrush) is the source of this 1366-nucleotide long non-coding RNA. RefSeq lists it as uncharacterized. NCBI's taxonomy places the organism in Eukaryota, Metazoa, Chordata, Aves, Passeriformes, Turdidae. The record is from RefSeq and is a predicted model, not a curated record. The transcript is spliced from 4 exons.
CAGCGGGCGGCCCCGCUGCGGGGAGGUCCCGUUCUCGGCGGUGAAAGGAUGGAAAGGGAAAUAAAGGGAGGCAGCAGGGAUGUGGACAAACAAGAGUGAAGCCACCACGUGAGAGGACAGAGGAGACCUGGGGCAUGAGCAGGGGAACAUCAAGGCUGAUGGAGAGCCUGUGAGAAAGAUGUGAAUCUGGAUUUGGCAAAUGGCAAGGCUACAGACAUCAGCAAGGGAUGGAACACUCACUGAGGCCUUGUGCAGGGAUCGGAAGGAGCCGGGCGGUGCUCUGUCACCCCGGAGGAAUGUGAGCCCUGCCGGCUGGCAGAUAACACCUCGUCCGCAGCAGCGUUGGAGGAGCAGGCAGCCACCACAGAACGAACGAUGUUGCAAUCGGAGCACAGCGUGUGCCUGGUACUUCAGGAGUGUUCCCAGCGAGACACCAAGGGAGGAGGUCCACAAACCUGCCUGGCAGAUGGAGGCUGUCCUGUGUGAGCCGGGAGCAGCUUGCUAGGCUGCCUCUGGCAUGGCUGGGGUUGAGGUUUGGCUUGUGUCAUGUUUGCUCCAAACCAAUUCAGUGUUUGGGUAGAUUUGAGUUGGGAUUCCAGAGAGCCUCAGCUUGGGAGGUGUCUGUACUGCUCAGCUGGGCACAGCACAGGGGGCCCUUGGUUGCCCAUAGGUUGGGGGCCCCAGCCUGUUACUGGGACCAGGAGGUGCAGCACAGAGAUGCCAGCCCAGGUCUCCAAGGCAGCAGGACCUGUUGCUGCUCAGACUUGCCUCAAGCAGCUCCUGUGGCUCCAGAUCCUGCUCAGCUGCAAGCAGCAGCAGCUACUGUGAUAUAAAGAAAUCCCUUGUUUUUGAAGUGGUGGUGGGGUUGAAGUGCCUCCUUCCUUGUCCCCUUCGAGAGUGCUGACACAUGAGCAGGCCUGUAGGGAUGAAGGCAAUGCACAGCCUCAAAACUUGCCAGAGCUCCAGAAGUGUUUGGACAAUGCUUUCAGCCACAUGGUGGGAAUGUUGGGGUGUCCUGUGCAAGGCUAGGAGUUGGGCUAGAUGUUUGUGGACCACUUCCAGCUCAGGAGAUUCUGUGAAUUCCUGUGAGGCAGCAGAAGUGUGAGCAUAUGGUCAAAUGCAUGUGGCCACACUUCUGCAGUCCUCCAGAGUGUCUGGGGAGGUCAUCCCUCCACUGCCUCUGCUGAUGAUCUGGGGCUGAGCUCCCAGUGAGGGAUGAGAUCAGGGGGUCCCUUGGCGAAGCCAUGUCAGACCGAGCAGCUGGCAUGGGCCUUGAUGAAUCAACUAAAGAACUUUGUCUGAAGCUGUCCUGAAAAUGAAUGUUUCUGAAAGGUGGUGGGGGUAUGUGACUGGCAGCCAGAUGGUU